CCGGCGGGGGAUAUCCCGCUCCCCGCUGGAGACUCAGAUUUACUUACCACAGGGGGAACUGCAGUCCGGCGGCAAAUCGCAUGAGGCAUCUAAGAUGGCCACCAAGCCAUGUCCUGAACAUGCUACAGAUGACCCAGGGCUCCAGCAUUGGAGGCAGCGCUUCGAAGCCCGGUUUGACCAACUCUGCAGGGCCUUCUGGAUGCUACUACAGCACAAACCUUCCUCUCAAACCCCGCAUGAAAAGCAGGGGCACGCACCAGAGGCUGCACGUCAGAUCCACUCCGAGCACGGGAUCCAUACAUAGGUAUGCCCGCUUCGCCGCCCAAACACCUGGAGGGCUCCCCGCAAGCCCCAGGGCUCCAAAACCCAGGUACACGCUGGGCAAGGCACGGCCACGUGGCCACCCACAAAGCGACGUUACUCAAAGCUGAAGACAACGGAGAAGCAGCGGAGGGCAGCUGGACACGGCCAAUACAAGAGCUCCCAUUACAGACCUGCCUAUGGCCCUCUGGAACAAGCAAAGGUCGCAAGGAGCGACCCAAACGACCACUCUAACAAACGGGACACUCACCAAGCACCAAUACCCCCCAGAGAAGAAAAGAGAGGUACCGCUUACCCCACUGGGAGUCCUGGGAGCUUCCCGAACCGGGGGAUUGGCUGAGCCGGAGAC
This is a non-coding RNA of Pelobates cultripes (western spadefoot toad), 670 nucleotides long. NCBI's taxonomy places the organism in Eukaryota, Metazoa, Chordata, Amphibia, Anura, Pelobatidae. The record is from the annotation of a GenBank genome assembly.